CCUACGGGAGGCAGCAGUGGGGAAUUUUCCGCAAUGGGCGAAAGCCUGACGGAGCAAUGCCGUGUGAAGGUGGAAGGCCCUCGGGUCGUCAACUUCUUUUCUCGGAGAAGAAACAAUGACGGUAUCUGAGGAAUAAGCAUCGGCUAACUCUGUGCCAGCAGCCGCGGUAAU
RNAcentral lists this ribosomal RNA (171 nucleotides) under uncultured bacterium. RNAcentral describes it as "partial 16S ribosomal RNA". It matches the Rfam family "Bacterial small subunit ribosomal RNA", at positions 338 to 524 of the family's 1533-position model. The record is from RNAcentral.